GGGGAUGUCAGCGAGGAGCAAGGAGAACGGUUUCACCAGGAUAUUCGACUGAUGGAAGAGAGGUGCCAGGGCCGAUGGGAUGUCAACAUGCUUGCAGACUACUGUUGGUGCCUCAAGAGAGAUGUUACAGAUGCGAAACACAGAUGAAAAUCUUUGUGAAAGCCAUUUAUUCCGCAUUAAUUGUUUUCCUUCGUCUUUUUAAUGUUGAAUUUCACAUUAACGGAACUUGUGUAUCAUUUUAUAUAUAGUUUGUACAUUUUCUGUCAAUGCAAGUCUGAUUUUGAAUUUAAAAAAAUGCUAAUUAAAAAAACAAAUUUUGAUUUUUUUUUUUCCUUAAAAUUGAGAUGUACAAAUUAUACAUAUAAUGACAACUUGACCUGAUUGAGCGAAAUGAGUUACAUUUCUAAAUUCAGCAUGCAAAAAGCAUACGAGAACCGUUGAGAAAACCUAGACCUCUGAAAUGACGCAGACCAGUAUUCAAUCAUAUCCCUGAAUUUUGUUUUUUUUUCUCUGCAGGUCUGUAUAGCUUCUAUUGGGUGGUGGAAGAUGUGGUAAUGGUCAACUAACCUACCCCUGCAUGCUUAAAAAUGGCAAGCCCCUCGCCUUCAGAUACCCUGACAACUGACUGGUCUAAAUGUGUCCUUUGUCAGGUGGACAGCAAAGAACAAUUGACAUGUCCCACUGAUGCAGGUUAUAAAACCAUAGCUGAGAACAUCCUUCAAUUUAAUGAACUCCGGGGGGGGGGGGGGGGGGGGGGGGGGGGGGGGGGGGGGGGGGGGGGGGGGGGGGGGGGGGGGGGGGGGGGGGGGGGGGGGGGGGGGGGGGGGGGGGGGUUACUUGAAGUUUGGUAAAAGUAAACUGGAACGUGCCAAGGAGCGGAAGCGCAAAUCUAAUGAAGAAGCAACAACUUCUAAGCAGAUUUUCACACGAAGCAGUAGUGGAGAAGCACAUACCUACAUACCUGAAGACAGCAAAAGCCCUGUGUGCUUCCUUUGUUCCAAACUGGAAACAAAUGAGAAACUUCAUGAAGUCUCCACAUUUCAAGUAGAUUUCCGUGUGCGGAAGUGUGCACAUAAGCUCCAAGAUGAGGAUCUUCUGGCAAAAUUAAGUGCAGGAGACCUUAUUGCCCUUGAGGCAAAGUAUCAUACAAGAUGCCUCACCAACUUAUACAACAGAGCACGUGGAAUGGUCCCGCAGGAGCCAGGUACCUCAAGUGAUCAAACAUGCAAAGGCAUCGCAUUAGCGGAGCUGAUAUCCUACAUGGAGGAGAGGAGACAAGAUGAGGACAUUAAGGUGUUCAGGCUUGCUGAUCUUACCAAGCUAUACACCGAGAGGCUGGAUCAGCUUGGUGUGGCUGUUGCCUCACGAGUAAAUAGUACGCACCUUAAAGACCGAAUUUUCAUGCAUCUCCCAGGUAUGAAAGCUUACAAGGAAGGGAGGGAUGUGUUCAUGGCCUAUGAGGAUGAUAUUGGCACUGUCCUGCGACAAGGAUAUCAGACUGAUCGAGAUGAACAGAGUGUCAUGAUGACUCAAAUUGCCGAUAUGAUCCGACGUGACAUUUUUACGCAAAAGGUGACAUUCUCAGGGUCGUUUGACCAGACCAGUCAAGUGGAAUCAGUGCCGCAGUCGGGGGGGGGGGGGGGGGGGGGGGGGGGGGGGGGGGGGGGGGGGGGGGGGGGGGGGGGGGGGGGGGGGGGGGGGGGGGGGGGGGGGGGGGGGGGGGGGGGGGGGGGGGGGGGGGGGGGGGGGGGGGGGGGGGACUAUGGGAAAGUACCACAAGUUUAUCACAGCAAAGAUCGGGAGAUGCCACUAUCAGUCUACUUGGGACUUAAGGCCCAUGCAUUAACAAGGGAACGGCAGUUGGUUGAUCGCCUCUUUGCCCUUGGUGUGUCAGCCUCAUAUGAUCGUAUCAUGGAUAUAAUCACAUCAUUAGCAAAUAAUGUCUGUGAGUAUUAUCACCAGAUUGGCACAGUCUGUCCUCCCCAGAUCCAGAAAGGUCAGUUUAUCACCGCAGCGGCGGACAAUAUUGACCACAAUCCAAGCUCAGCUACCUUCCACCGGAUCAUUUCAGGGCACAAGCUGCACGAUUCACCAGAGCAAAUAUCUGAAGAGACAGAAGCUUCCCUAGAGUAUUUCACUGUGCUCUAUGACAGGACAAUAUUGACCACAAUCCAAGCUCAGCUACCUCCACCGGAUCAUUUCACGGCACAAGUUUGUCCUUGUUGCAGGAUGUUACCACCGACAGUAACAUGAGUGACACCGAUCGUGGUUUCACCAAUUCAAUAGCACCUUUAAAGGAGCAAAGAAUGGCGAAGUA
Molecule: long non-coding RNA, 2317 nt
Filed under: Eptatretus burgeri (inshore hagfish)
Lineage: Eukaryota; Metazoa; Chordata; Myxini; Myxiniformes; Myxinidae
Description: lncRNA (ENSEBUG00000017100.1)
Source: RNAcentral